Molecule: ribosomal RNA, 960 nt
Filed under: Triticum aestivum (bread wheat)
Lineage: Eukaryota; Viridiplantae; Streptophyta; Magnoliopsida; Poales; Poaceae
Description: partial small subunit ribosomal RNA
Source: RNAcentral
AUGGGAUUGCAGGCUGCGCUGCUGACCUCUGCCGCAUUGACUACGGAGGUCGAUGCUUUGAAGCAGGACCUCGAGCGGACCGAGAACGAGCUCGGCCUUGCCAAGAGGCAGCUCGAGGACAAAGAAGGGGCCACGAACGAGGUGGCGACCCUUAAGGAGGCCGUGUCCGCGGCCGAACGUAAUGCGGCCGCGGAACGAGCGGAGCGAGAGAAGCAGGAGGCGCGGGUGGCGGAGGUGCCGCAAGAGCUCCAUGCUCUCAUGGACAAGCAUGAGAGUUUGGAGCGCGACUCGAAGACUCGAGAGUCCGAGCUUGCCUCGGCUCUUGAGAGUGCCAAAGCCGCGAAGGCCGAGGCCCAUAAGGCCCUCCAGGAGAUUGAGGCGGUGAAGAAAAUAGCGGUGGGUAAGGCAUUUUUCAUGCAAUGCAAGCAUGUGAGGUUGAAUUACCUGUUACUUACCCGGAUUCGGAGCUCUCCAGGAGCGUUUGCAGAUCUGCCUCGCAGCGUGUCCGAUGCCGCCGCAUUCUACCGGGCCGAGGAGGGGAGCUCAACGGAGAAGGUCUUCUGGUCUCAGUAUGCUGAGGCCGGACAUCCGGUGCCCCUUAGAGACCAGCUGAAGCAGCUGGUCGAGCUCCACAAGGUAGCCGAGCAGGCCAUGAAGGGCCUCAUAGUCCGGCUGUGGCCUGAAGAGGCCAUGCCUGGGAGCUACUUCGGCCUCGUGCGGCGGCUGGUGGAUGCGUGCCCUUGGGUGGAAGUCAUCAAGCGCUCCGCCUGCAUCGAAGGUGCCCGUCGGGCCCUUGCCCGCGCAAAGGUGCACUGGGGCAGGCUGGAUGCUGAGAGGCUUCUGACAGACGCGCCGCCGGCGGGCAAGGAGUAUCGUACGCCCGAAAUGUAUUAUAAGAGUGUCCUGAAGGGUGCCCGCAAAAUUGCGGACGAGUGCCCCAAAGAUGUAAUAUUUGAGUAG